Molecule: long non-coding RNA, 901 nt
Filed under: Phasianus colchicus (ring-necked pheasant)
Lineage: Eukaryota; Metazoa; Chordata; Aves; Galliformes; Phasianidae
Description: lncRNA (ENSPCLG00000014106.1)
Source: RNAcentral
CCCUUUGGAAGGAAGGCGGAAGAGAAGAUGUUGUAGCAUCCACCAAACAAACAAAAAAAACCUGAUGGUGAAUGGGGGGAGCCAAUAGAGUAAUAGAGUAGUGCUGUAAUGGUCAAGAUAAAACUUGACCAUUUUCAAGUGGAAAAAGCUCUGUAAAUAAGAUAAAAAGGAAACAAAAAGAAACAUUGGCCCUUCACAUGAAACUCUAGUUUAUAACUCAAAAGUAAGCAUGGCACUACGUGCUGGGAGCUGACAGUCUUGUAACUUAAUAAGAUACCAACAACUGAUGGAAGAGAAACAGAUGAAAAUGCGGAAGCCUGGGUGACAAAUGAAAAACAAAAACAGGGGAGUGCUAAGAAGAGGGGCCCCUGCAGAAGACAGCGGAAGAAGCCGUGUGUGGAACUGGGAGGCAGGAGGGCACAUGAAGAGGGCGCACAAAGAGGAAGCAGAAGACUGCAGCUGGGCUAAGGAAGAGAUGUGCCUUACACACAUUGAUACAAGGUUUGGAAUGCAGCAGUCCUCUCUGGCUGUGUCUUCCAGCAGGAAGAGAAGGAAUGUCCCCAGUGAGAAGGAAUGAGGUUCCCAAGACACAGCACAAUGUGACCCACAAGGCAGAGAAAAAUCUGAACACAAAUGCAGGGUAGAAAUAGUGGCAGUGUGUGCAUACUGCUGUUUGGAAGAGGGCACUGAUAUGCAGCCUGGGAAUGGCAGCAGUAGCUAGGACAUCACAUCUGCUGCCUGAAGCGUUCAAAGUAAAGUGGUUGUACUCUUUUUCUUUUAAUUAACCAUGCUUAUGAUUUGCUGAAAAACUCAGUAAGUGAUGUAUAGGAAUGAGGUGAUACUUGAACUGUCUGCUUGGCUGCACAGUGUCUUUGUUUAAUAAAGAUUAAUUUAUCCUACA